CAGGGCUUCUAAAGGUGUAUAAGUUAAAAUGAGGUCAUUAGGGUGGGCCCUCAUCCAAUAUGACCACUGUCCUUACAGUCAGGGGAAAUUACAGCACAGACUCACAGAGGGAAGAACACCUGAGGCAGAAGAUGGAAGAGGAAAGCCUUUGGAGGAAGGCAACCCACCAACACCUUGGCCUGGGAUCCCCGGGAAGCCUACAGAACCACAGAAGGCUAAGGUCUGUUUACAGCCACCCAUCCUCUGGCAUUUUGCUACAGUAGCUCAAGCAGACUAAUUCCUAAGCAGGGGGACCUGAUUUCAUUGAUGGUCAUCUCAGAAGGCAGAGGCUGCUCCCGUGCCCUGUGCAAGGCUGGUUCACAGGUUAAAGGACUGAGCUCUGGACGUGGAACUGCCGCACACAGAAACGUGGCCUCCAUGUCAGGUAUGCUGCACCAGAGACCAGAAUCUUCCCUGACUUUGGACAAGAGAGUUAUGGUUGCCACAUUUAAUGGUGCCUACUAAGUGCAGGUAAUAUGCUAAGCCCUACAGGCAUACUCAUCCAUUCAAUCCUCAUUCCACCCCUAUGACGUAUGUCAAGCCCACAGUCCCUUAGUCAGAACUGAGGCCAGCAGAGUUUAGUGUGUGGGAAGUGGGGGACUUGAUAAAGGUCAUCCCG
RNAcentral lists this long non-coding RNA (658 nucleotides) under Marmota monax (woodchuck). The record is from RNAcentral. Lineage: Eukaryota; Metazoa; Chordata; Mammalia; Rodentia; Sciuridae.